GACGAACGCUGGCGGCGUGCUUAACACAUGCAAGUCGAACGGAAAGGCCCUGCUUUUGUGGGGUGCUCGAGUGGCGAACGGGUGAGUAACACGUGAGUAACCUGCCCUUGACUUUGGGAUAACUUCAAGAAACUGGGGCUAAUACCGGAUAGGAGCUCCUGCUGCAUGGUGGGGGUUGGAAAGUUUCGGCGGUUGGGGAUGGACUCGCGGCUUAUCAGCUUGUUGGUGGGGUAGUGGCUUACCAAGGCUUUGACGGGUAGCCGGCCUGAGAGGGUGACCGGCCACAUUGGGACUGAGAUACGGCCCAGACUCCUAUGGGAGGCAGCAGUGGGGAAUAUUGCACAAUGGGCGGAAGCCUGAUGCAGCAACGCCGCGUGCGGGAUGACGGCCUUCGGGUUGUAAACCGCUUUCGCCUGUGACGAAGCGUGAGUGACGGUAAUGGGUAAAGAAGCACCGGCUAACUACGUG
Molecule: ribosomal RNA, 468 nt
Filed under: uncultured bacterium
Lineage: Bacteria
Description: partial 16S ribosomal RNA
Rfam family: Bacterial small subunit ribosomal RNA
Source: RNAcentral